RNAcentral lists this ribosomal RNA (465 nucleotides) under uncultured bacterium. RNAcentral's name for it is "partial 16S ribosomal RNA". It matches the Rfam family "Bacterial small subunit ribosomal RNA", at positions 28 to 507 of the family's 1533-position model. The record is from RNAcentral.
GACGAACGCUGGCGGCGUGCUUAACACAUGCAAGUCGAACGGAAAGGCCCCCUUGUGGGGUACUCGAGUGGCGAACGGGUGAGUAACACGUGAGUAACCUACCCUUGACUUUGGGAUAACUUCAGGAAACUGGGGCUAAUACCGGAUAGGAGCUCCUGCUGCAUGGUGGGGGUUGGAAAGUUUCGGCGGUUGGGGAUGGGCUCGCGGCUUAUCAGCUUGUUGGUGGGGUAGUGGCUCACCAAGGCUUUGACGGGUAGCCGGCCUGAGAGGGUGACCGGCCACAUUGGGACUGAGAUACGGCCCAGACUCCUAUGGGAGGCAGCAGUGGGGAAUAUUGCACAAUGGGCGGAAGCCUGAUGCAGCAACGCCGCGUGCGGGAUGACGGCCUUCGGGUUGUAAACCGCUUUCGCCUGUGACGAAGCGUGAGUGACGGUAAUGGGUAAAGAAGCACCGGCUAACUACGUG